Non-coding RNA from Arachis ipaensis, 821 nucleotides. NCBI's taxonomy places the organism in Eukaryota, Viridiplantae, Streptophyta, Magnoliopsida, Fabales, Fabaceae. The record is from RefSeq and is a predicted model, not a curated record.
CAGAUUUGGGGAAGGGAGGAGAAGCUCUCAAACCCUCACCAUCUUUGAUCCACCGUAUCUUCCUCGUUUGAGCUCCGAUUGACGAGCCGUUUGCGGCCACGCGUUCGUCUCGGACUCCUCUUCAAUUUUAUCCGAACAAAGUGGUGCAAACUAAAAUUGGAUAAUUGUUGGGUUGCACUCCAAUCAUCAAUGGGUACGGUAAGAACAACCUAAACCCUAGCUAAUUUUUGAUUUAUUGAUGAAAAAUCUGAAUUUGGAUAUAUAUGUGAAUUGGGGGUGAAUUGAGUUAUAUAUACAUGCAUUGGGUUUGAAUUGGGAUUACUUGGAGGUUUGUUGGCGACCAAGGCUUGUUUUGGGGAUGUUUGAUUGAGCAUGGAGGGGCUGUAAUUUUGAGUUGUGAGACUGCCUUGGGUGAACUAAGCGAUCGGCUAAGAUGCAGGUCAAGAGGCUCCUCGCUAGGCGUCUGGAUCCUGGGAAGUGAAGUAGUCUAUUGGUGUAUUUUGGUUUCCUGUUGUAUAUAUGUAUAUAUGUAUUUAGCUUACUCUCCAAGUAACUUAUGUAUGCUGCUCCUCUUAGAGGUUGAGGGAGAGAUAGGAGUUUAUUUUGGUAUUUUGGGAUAUUUUGGGGAUACCUGUGUAUGUUCAUAUGUAUAUAUAUAGUCAGCCUUAGUUUCGCAGGCUGAGUUAGGGGCUAGUUAUGCUGUUUCCUUGGCUUUCCUUUACUCUUUUGCUUAUCUUUAUCAUGUUCCUAUUAGAUUUCUUAGCACGUAAGUAAUCCUUACCUGAGCGUUGCGUUUUUUAUUUUGCGAUUUUGUUUUAUCC